This 262-nucleotide ribosomal RNA is filed under the name uncultured bacterium. RNAcentral describes it as "partial 16S ribosomal RNA". It matches the Rfam family "Bacterial small subunit ribosomal RNA", at positions 524 to 784 of the family's 1533-position model. The record is from RNAcentral.
UACAGAGACUGCAAGCGUUAUUCGGAUUCACUGGGCGUAAAGGGUGCGCAGGCGGUUGGGUGUGUCAGAUGUGAAAUCCCGAGGCUCAACCUCGGAACUGCGUCUGAAACUACUCGACUAGAGUAUUGGAGAGGGUAACGGAAUUCACGGUGUAGCAGUGAAAUGCGUAGAUAUCAGAAGGAACACCGGCGGCGAAGGCGACUCUCUGGUCCGUAACUGACGCUGAGUGUGCGAAAGCUAGGGGAGCAAACGGGAUUAGAAA